RNAcentral lists this ribosomal RNA (446 nucleotides) under uncultured organism. Its description in RNAcentral is "bacterial SSU rRNA". It matches the Rfam family "Bacterial small subunit ribosomal RNA", at positions 28 to 507 of the family's 1533-position model. The record is from RNAcentral.
GAUGAACGCUAGCGAGACGCUUAACACAUGCAAGUCGAAUGCCAACUUGUUGGCAUGGCAGACGGGUGAGUAACACGUGCUUAAUUUGCCCUGGAGUGGGGGACAACAUCGGAAACGGUGAUAAUCCCGCAUACGCUCUGAGAAAUGAAAAUACUCAGAGGAAAGAUUUAUCGCUCUAGGAGAAGGGCGCGGCUGACUAGUUAGUUGGUGAGGUAAUGGCUCACCAAGACGAUGAUCAGUAGCUGGUCUGAGAGGACGAUCAGCCACAAUGGGACUGAGACACGGCCCAUACCCCUACGGGGGGCAGCAGUGGGGAAUCUUGCGCAAUGGACGAAAGUCUGACGCAGCGAUCUCGCGUGAAGGAUGAAGCUUUGCGGAGUGUAAACUUCUUUUCUGGGAGAAAACGACUGAUGGUAUCUCAGGAAUAAGGAACGGCUAACUACGUG